GUGCCGGGUGCACCUCGCGAGCUAGCUGCCGCCCCGCCUGUGUCGCGGUCGUACCCUCCGCCCUCUGCGCCGAGAGCCGCUGCCGCCCGAGACCUUCGAGGGCUCCUCGCCCCUGCUUCCUGGGAGACCCUCUCCGCUGGGAGAGUCGCAGUCACGGAGCCGGGGGACACCUGUACGGGCAGGCGGCCGGCGAAGGCCCGGCCCGAGAGGAAGCGGGCCCCGAACGCCGCAACUGCCUGGGAAGCGGCUUUGCGUCCGGGCGUGGUGGAGCACAUCUGAGGGCCCAGCUACUCGGGAGCUGAGGCAGGAGGAUCCCUUAAGCCUGGGAAGUCAAGGCUGCAGUGAGCCGAGAUGGGUGCCACUUCACUCCAGCCUAGGCGACAGAGUGAGACUUGCAGAAGGAAAGAGAGAAAAGAAAUACAGUAACAGUUAAUAAAAUUCUUAACACACAUGUAAUAAUGUAUUUUACUCACACAUUAAAUAACAAGACUAAAGUUGCAAGUCUAAUAUUCACCAUGAUUUUGAAAUACCAGUGAGUAUAAAUGAUAUUUAGAGAUUUCUGCAACAGCUGAAAUGUGAUAUGAAUAUAUCUGGGUUUCUCUUGGUGACAAAGUCACAGGGACAGCUAACACCUACUACUGUGGGAAUUUUAAUAUCAGAGGUGGGUGAAAAUGAGAUCGCAUACAUUCCUUCAACCCAAAUUCAGAAGCCCCCUGGCUUCUAUCCUCUGACCUCCCUUCCCCUCCCCUCUCUCUGUGGAUCCCAGGUUAAGAACCCCCACCCAUGUGACGGGGUGUGAAGAGCUCAGUGGGAGGGGCAGAGAGGAAGAGCCUCCCUGACCCCGGUGUUUGCCUAAAGAGAAGCACAGAGCCAGUUUUCAUACUCUGGGCCUUUGCACAUGCUGUUCCCUCUGCUGGGCCUUCCCAUCCCCCUGCCCCCUCUGCCACCCCAACCUCCUGUCUCCUUGAAAAUACCCUACCCCAUGCCACCCCCAGCAUGGGGUUUCCUCUCUUCUCUUGCUGUCUAGUAUCUUCCCAGCUCCACACAGAGCCUGUGUGUUGAUCUCAGGGGUUUGUGUUCAGGCCUGGCCUCCUGCUGGGCUGAGCUAGGCAAGGCCUGGGCUGGGGCUGCUCCAUCCCUAGGGCCCAUUUCAAUACUGGUGCUCAACGCAUGUUUAUUGGAUGGAUGGAUGGAUGGAUGGAUGGAUGGAUGGAUGGAUGGAUGGAAAAGGUCAUGCCCACCAUGUUUUCUAAGCAUCUUGCAGUCAGCAGCCGCCUGACUCAUCUUUGGGCACCCUCCCCUGGCAACAGCAAAGGCUGUGUCACCAGCCCUUCCGACCAGGCUCCUGAGGGGGGUCUUGCAUACCUUCUCACAGGUCGUGUCCUAAGAUCCCAUUUCACCAGUGGGGAACCUGGCCCUGGGAAAGGUCAAGGCUGGCUCCCUUGGUCUGGGAGCUGGCAAGUGGUGCAUGAGGGAUUCCAUCCAGCCUGCCCUGGCCACACUGCUAUCCGGUACAUCAGCUCAAAGGGCCUCUGCAGAGGCCAAGGUGAUGGGAGAGUUGGCCACAUGUGAGAAUAAGCCCAUGCCCUCUGGAGGGAACUCUACUUUGAGUGAUAACACUUCUUAAAAUGGUUAAGUCAUCAUUAAGACAAAAACCAAAUACACUUCUGAUUUCAUUCACCCUGUGCACCCGUGGUCACCCCAGCCAAGGGAGACUUGGUGAUGCAGGGGAUUGAGAAGCAGCCACUGUCUCGAUGCUCCCAGCAUGGUGGGGGCACCAGGAGUGUGAGUUGGAGGGGGGAAGGAGAGGGCAGGACCACUGGGGCAGGCUGGGAGGGCUUCACGGAGGAGGUGCUGCUUGGGUGAGGCCUAAAGGUCAGUAGGAAUUACCUGUAUGCAGGAGAGGAUGGAAGGGAGUAGGAGGACACUGUAGUCCAAAGGCCCGAGGGGUGAACCUGCAAGUCCCAUUUGGACAACUGAGCUCAGCUUGGGGAGCUCGGCCCUUAGGAGCCUCCGGUACAGCACACGAAACCAGUCAGCCACAAAACCAGGAGGUGGUUGUUAAGUUUCUUCUACCCAUGCAGGUAAAGUUGAGAGAACCGUGAACUGGUUUCCUGCGGAGAGGAUCCUGGAGCACAGUCCAUGGCUGGGAGCCUCCAGACCUCGGGUGCGAAAGGUAGUGAUGGGAGAAGGGAGGACACCCCAGGCAGAGGACACGACCUGGACACAGAAGUGGAGACUGGAUUGGGAGUAGAGGAGUGAGGCUGCCUGGUGCCUCAGAGCUGGAGGAAGAAUGACAACUGAGCCUGGACACCUGGGCUGGGGCAGGACACCUGGGACACUGGGAAGAGCCUGGGGCACUGGGAAGAGCCUGAGGCACCAGGCUGAGGCACCUGGGGCUGGCGGGCAGGAGGGCGCGUACGGGGGGAGCCACGGAGGCCUUUGGAUACUCUAGCACUGUGUGGAGGAUGGCGGAGAAAGGCUCGCACAGGCCCCCUGAGCCCGGCAUGGGGAUCCUGGGUAAUAACCACACCUACCCACCUACCCAAUGGGUACAGACCUUUUAUCUCAUUGGAUUCACC
RNAcentral lists this long non-coding RNA (2582 nucleotides) under Homo sapiens (human). RNAcentral describes it as "non-protein coding lnc-DEGS2-7:2". The record is from RNAcentral. Lineage: Eukaryota; Metazoa; Chordata; Mammalia; Primates; Hominidae.